RNAcentral lists this ribosomal RNA (1502 nucleotides) under Paraburkholderia nemoris. RNAcentral describes it as "Paraburkholderia sp. LMG 31836 23S ribosomal RNA (partial)". It matches the Rfam family "Bacterial large subunit ribosomal RNA", at positions 3 to 1558 of the family's 2925-position model. Lineage: Bacteria; Pseudomonadati; Pseudomonadota; Betaproteobacteria; Burkholderiales; Burkholderiaceae. The record is from RNAcentral.
UCAAGCGAACAAGUGCAUGUGGUGGAUGCCUUGGCGAUCACAGGCGAUGAAGGACGCGGUAGCCUGCGAAAAGCGACGGGGAGCUGGCAAACGAGCUUUGAUCCGUCGAUGUCCGAAUGGGGAAACCCACCUCUUUUGAGGUAUCCGUAACUGAAUACAUAGGUUACGUGAAGCGAACGCGGUGAACUGAAACAUCUAAGUAACCGCAGGAAAAGAAAUCAACCGAGAUUCCCAGAGUAGUGGCGAGCGAAAUGGGACCAGCCUGUACUCUUUAUUCUUACUGUUAGCCGAAAGCUCUGGAAAGUGCUGCCAUAGCAGGUGAUAGCCCUGUAGGCGAAAACAGUUUGAAAGAACUAGGUGUACGACAAGUAGGGCGGGACACGUGAAAUCCUGUCUGAAGAUGGGGGGACCAUCCUCCAAGGCUAAAUACUCGUGAUCGACCGAUAGUGAACCAGUACCGUGAGGGAAAGGCGAAAAGAACCCCGGGAGGGGAGUGAAAUAGAUCCUGAAACCGCAUGCAUACAAACAGUCGGAGCCUCGCAAGGGGUGACGGCGUACCUUUUGUAUAAUGGGUCAGCGACUUACAUUCAGUGGCAAGCUUAACCGAUUAGGGCAGGCGUAGCGAAAGCGAGUCCGAACAGGGCGUUCAGUCGCUGGGUGUAGACCCGAAACCAGGUGAUCUAUCCAUGGCCAGGAUGAAGGUGCGGUAACACGUACUGGAGGUCCGAACCCACUAACGUUGAAAAGUUAGGGGAUGAGCUGUGGAUAGGGGUGAAAGGCUAAACAAACCUGGAAAUAGCUGGUUCUCUCCGAAAACUAUUUAGGUAGUGCCUCGUGUAUCACCUUCGGGGGUAGAGCACUGUCAUGGUUGUGGGGUCCAUUGCGGAUUACUACGCCAUAGCAAACUCCGAAUACCGAAGAGUGCAAUCACGGGAGACAGACAUCGGGUGCUAACGUCCGGUGUCAAGAGGGAAACAACCCAGACCGCCAGCUAAGGUCCCCAAAUAUUGCUAAGUGGGAAACGAAGUGGGAAGGCUAAAACAGUCAGGAGGUUGGCUUAGAAGCAGCCAUCCUUUAAAGAAAGCGUAAUAGCUCACUGAUCGAGUCGUCCUGCGCGGAAGAUGUAACGGGGCUAAGCAAUAUACCGAAGCUGCGGAUGCACAUUUAUGUGCAUGGUAGGAGAGCGUUCCGUAAGCCUGCGAAGGUGCAUUGAAAAGUGCGCUGGAGGUAUCGGAAGUGCGAAUGCUGACAUGAGUAGCGAUAAAGGGGGUGAAAGGCCCCCUCGCCGUAAGCCCAAGGUUUCCUACGCAACGUUCAUCGGCGUAGGGUGAGUCGGCCCCUAAGGCGAGGCAGAAAUGCGUAGCUGAUGGGAAGCAGGUUAAUAUUCCUGCACCAUUGUUAAAUGCGAUGGGGGGACGGAUCGCGGAAGGUUGUCCGGGUGUUGGAAGUCCCGGUCCUUGCAUUGGAGAAGGCGCUUAGGCAAAUCCGGGCGCGGAAUUCAA